UACGUAGGGGGCAAGCGUUGUCCGGAUUUAUUGGGCGUAAAGAGCGUGUAGGCGGCCAGAUAGGUCAGCUGUGAAAACUCGAGGCUCAACCUCGAGACGUCGGUUGAAACCGUACGGCUAGAGUCCGGAAGAGGAGAGUGGAAUUCCCGGUGUAGCGGUGAAAUGCGCAGAUAUCGGGAAGAACACCCGUGGCGAAGGCGGCUCUCUGGGACGGUACUGACGCUGAGACGCGAAAGCGUGGGGAGCGAACAGG
Molecule: ribosomal RNA, 253 nt
Filed under: uncultured bacterium
Lineage: Bacteria
Description: partial 16S ribosomal RNA
Rfam family: Bacterial small subunit ribosomal RNA
Source: RNAcentral